Molecule: ribosomal RNA, 520 nt
Filed under: Saiga tatarica
Lineage: Eukaryota; Metazoa; Chordata; Mammalia; Artiodactyla; Bovidae
Description: partial 12S ribosomal RNA
Rfam family: Bacterial small subunit ribosomal RNA
Source: RNAcentral
CUGGGAUUAGAUACCCCACUAUGCUUAGCCCUAAACACAAAUAAUUGCAUAAACAAAAUUAUUCGCCAGAGUACUACCGGCAACAGCCUAAAACUCAAAGGACUUGGCGGUGCUUUAUACCCUUCUAGAGGAGCCUGUUCUAUAAUCGAUAAACCCCGAUAAACCUCACCAGUCCUUGCUAAUACAGUCUAUAUACCGCCAUCUUCAGCAAACCCUAAAAAGGAAUAAAAGUAAGCACAAUUAUAAGACAUAAAAACGUUAGGUCAAGGUGUAACCUAUGGAGUGGGAAGAAAUGGGCUACAUUUUCUACCUUAAGAAAACUUACACGAAAGUCACUAUGAAACUAGUAACCAAAGGAGGAUUUAGUAGUAAACUAAGAAUAGAGUGCUUAGUUGAAUUAGGCCAUGAAGCACGCACACACCGCCCGUCACCCUCCUCAAAUGACUAACAAUACACUUAAAUCUAUUUAAAUCUACCAACCACAUGAGAGGAGACAAGUCGUAACAAGGUAAGCAUACUG